Molecule: transfer RNA, 65 nt
Filed under: Dipodomys ordii (Ord's kangaroo rat)
Lineage: Eukaryota; Metazoa; Chordata; Mammalia; Rodentia; Heteromyidae
Rfam family: tRNA
About the family: Transfer RNA (tRNA) molecules are approximately 80 nucleotides in length. Their secondary structure includes four short double-helical elements and three loops (D, anti-codon, and T loops). Further hydrogen bonds mediate the characteristic L-shaped molecular structure. tRNAs have two regions of fundamental functional importance: the anti-codon, which is responsible for specific mRNA codon recognition, and the 3' end, to which the tRNAs corresponding amino acid is attached (by aminoacyl-tRNA synthetases). tRNAs cope with the degeneracy of the genetic code in two manners: having more than one tRNA (with a specific anti-codon) for a particular amino acid; and 'wobble' base-pairing, i.e. permitting non-standard base-pairing at the 3rd anti-codon position.
Source: Rfam by way of RNAcentral
GGUGGCUCAGUGGUGGAGUGUUUGCCUUGCAUGCAUGAGGCUCUGGGUUCAAUUCCUCAGCACCA